GAACACAAAGGGCAGCGAUUAGAUGAUGGUGAUUUCAAUGCUGAGAGAAGAUUAGCAAACCAGCUCUUCACGGAAAGGAGGAGGGUUAUGAGAAGAUGAAAGCAACCGGUUCAGGAUUCAUUCCCUGUGCAUGGAUUACUGACUGCUAAAGCUUUGUUUUCUGCAACAAAAAGAUAAACUCCCAGGGCCAAGUCACCCCAAUGUCAAAAAGUUUUGGCAUGAUGUUAUGGAUUUGUAGCUAGCAUAGUCUUCUUUGAAGCAAUCAAAUAAGAACCACCAAGCAUCAUCUUUCUUGCAGAGAGAGUGUUGGCAGUACCAUGAACAAGAUCUGGUUUGCUUAAGAGUACCACCUAUAUACAUUAAGUUAUCUUUGAAGGAUGGCCACUAGCAUGAACCACUUUGUUAGAUGGAGAUGGUCUUGGGGGAACUAUGCUCGCUCUUAGUUUGAUGCCUAAACUAAGUUAUCUUUGGGAAAGUGGAAAAGGUUAAUGGAAUCCCACUAUAAUGAUGCUGAUGAUGAUCCUAUUAAAAAUUCUACUUGGAACAACUAGCCUUUAGCCUUUGGCAAAAGGUCUGAGAAAAGGGUGCCUAUUUUUAUUCCAGGGAAUGAAUGCAUCACUCAUCAUGCACAGGUGCUCUGGUUUUUGCUGCAAGUAAAAAGUUUUGGUGGGGAAGAUGCAACAUGAUUUCUGUCUCUGCAUUUAUCUUUUGCAAAGCUGUUUAUGAACAUAGCAGUUGGUGAUCUGGUUUCAUGAUUAAUUGGUGGCCUGGUAAUCAUUAGUCUCAAAGAACUUUGCUGUCAGGAAAUGGCUCGAUGUUACAUUUGAUUGAUCUCCAUCUAAAGCAACUCUUUUCAUUAUUUGCUUGCUCAUGCAUUGUGGUAAACUUGGAUUCACAUGUUGUGUCUGUCUUAGAUUGAUCCAUCCACCAUUUGGUGUAAAGCUUGAAGAAACAUGGCUGUUCAGUUGCCCAACUUGCAUGACAAGGUAAACAAAUUCAUCAUCUCAAUCAAUAUGCAAGUUGACACAUUUCCACACUCCUUUGUACUUGACAUGGCUAUGCCCAAGAUGGUUAAUAUUCCUUUUCUCAGCUAGCCAAUCCAUUGUGGUAUCACUUUCUCCUGUGCCUUGGACAGUCCAGUGCCUUUAGGACAUUGUCCAUCUGACAUGAUGUCUCAUGGAUUCUGUAUCAUGGAAACUGGUUAUGUUGCCUUCCUACAUGUGAUGCAAUUCUACUCAUUCCAAUAUUCAGAGCAUCUGCUUUAUAAAGGUCAUAUCUUUGGUUGGAUGAUCUCUUGCUGUCCCUACUGGUUGAGCUAAAACAAUGUGAGAAUGAUGCAAAGCUAACACUAUGACCAAUCAUGUGAACAAACUGAACAGACUUGGCAUCCACUCAAAGAAAGAAAAGAAUUCUAGAUGAAAACAUCAGCUGUAAGAACAACAAUGUUUGUUCUGCUAUGCCCAAAUUCAGAUCAGUUAAUAUUUUCCAGAUUGACUAGCGGGAAAUCCUUCAGCAACUUGAGCCUGGUGGUGGAAUGACAUCAGAUUGCUGGAAAAGCUGACAGAAAGAUCUCAAGUUUCGCCCCUCUGCCUUUAUUGGAGAUGUCUCAUUCCAUAUCCCUCAUGGUGUACUUCACUAUCUUAGUGGAUGUGGCUAUUCAUGCCUCAAUGAGUGGACCUCAAUAAUGUCAAGUGUGCAUCUCCUUCGCAUCA
This is a long non-coding RNA of Musa acuminata subsp. malaccensis (wild Malaysian banana), 1712 nucleotides long. RefSeq lists it as uncharacterized. NCBI's taxonomy places the organism in Eukaryota, Viridiplantae, Streptophyta, Magnoliopsida, Zingiberales, Musaceae. The record is from RefSeq and is a predicted model, not a curated record.